This 469-nucleotide ribosomal RNA is filed under the name uncultured Alphaproteobacteria bacterium. Its description in RNAcentral is "bacterial SSU rRNA". It matches the Rfam family "Bacterial small subunit ribosomal RNA", at positions 9 to 524 of the family's 1533-position model. Lineage: Bacteria; Pseudomonadati; Pseudomonadota; Alphaproteobacteria. The record is from RNAcentral.
GAGUUUGAUCAUGGCUCAGAACGAACGCUGGCGGCAGGCUUAACACAUGCAAGUCGAACGAUGUAGCAAUACAUAGUGGCGCACGGGUGAGUAACGCGUGGGAAUAUACCAUAUAGUGGGGAAUAACUUCGGGAAACUGAAGCUAAUACCGCAUACGCCCGAGAGGGGAAAGAUUUAUCGCUAUAUGAUUAGCCCGCGUGAGAUUAGGUAGUUGGUGGGGUAAUGGCCUACCAAGCCGACGAUCUCUAGCUGGUCUGAGAGGAUGAUCAGCCACACUGGAACUGAGACACGGUCCAGACUCCUACGGGAGGCAGCAGUGGGGAAUAUUGGGCAAUGGAGGAAACUCUGACCCAGCCAUGCCGCGUGAAUGAUGAAGGCUUUAGGGUUGUAAAGUUCUUUCGCCGAUGAAGAUAAUGACGGUAGUCGGAGAAGAAGCCCCGGCUAACUUCGUGCCAGCAGCCGCCGCGGU